UGGUACAACGGUAUUUCAAGU
Molecule: non-coding RNA, 21 nt
Organism: Caenorhabditis elegans
Lineage: Eukaryota; Metazoa; Nematoda; Chromadorea; Rhabditida; Rhabditidae
Source: Ensembl